Long non-coding RNA from Equus quagga, 543 nucleotides. RefSeq lists it as uncharacterized. NCBI's taxonomy places the organism in Eukaryota, Metazoa, Chordata, Mammalia, Perissodactyla, Equidae. The transcript is spliced from 4 exons. The record is from RefSeq and is a predicted model, not a curated record.
GGUGUGGUUCUCAACACUUUAAGAGGAAUGUAGCGAAACUGGAGAGAGUCCAGCAAAGAGUAACAAACGUGAUAAAAGAGUAGGAAAACAGAACCUGAGAGGAAAGCUUAAUAACUAGGAUUGUGUAGGCUGAAGGAGCGAGAGGGCUAAAGGCUUUUCUUCGAGAGAUGGAGGACUGCAAUGUAAUGGGCAUUUGCUUGAUGUUCCAGGCAGUCGGAGUUGACAAGACUGAGCCAGUCAUGGAGAUGUUACCAAAUACAGGAAAAGCAGAAGGAAACAUUCAGAUUGUCAUGAGACAAGCUAUUCUGUUUACUGAGUGCUGAAAACUAAGAGCAGCAGAUAGACUGGGUAACAUGGAGGAUCAGAAGGUGUACUGCGACAUGGAGUAACAGGGGAUGCAUUUCCUUCAGUGGUGUCUUCACUUGGAGAAGCCCCAAUGCCGUCAAGAAGAGGAUGCCCACCAGGUUUAUUCCCAGCAUAACAACCUGAGCUUGAAUGAUUUACCUCAUUGUGUUUAUUUGCAAAAAGAGCCUUCUUUUUGGC